This 253-nucleotide ribosomal RNA is filed under the name uncultured bacterium. Its description in RNAcentral is "partial 16S ribosomal RNA". It matches the Rfam family "Bacterial small subunit ribosomal RNA", at positions 524 to 776 of the family's 1533-position model. The record is from RNAcentral.
UACGAAGGACCCGAGCGUUAUCCGGAUUCAUUGGGUUUAAAGGGUGCGUAGGCGGAUUGAUAAGUCAGUGGUGAAAGCCUGAUGCUUAACAUCAGAACUGCCAUUGAUACUGUCGAUCUUGAGUACAUUUGAAGUGGGCGGAAUGUGUCAUGUAGCGGUGAAAUGCUUAGAUAUGACACGGAACACCGAUUGCGAAGGCAGCUCACUAAACUGUAACUGACGCUGAGGCACGAAAGCGUGGGGAUCAAACAGG